This 528-nucleotide ribosomal RNA is filed under the name uncultured bacterium. Its description in RNAcentral is "bacterial SSU rRNA". It matches the Rfam family "Bacterial small subunit ribosomal RNA", at positions 980 to 1509 of the family's 1533-position model. The record is from RNAcentral.
CUUGACAUCCAGCGAAUUCGGUAGAGAUACCUUAGUGCCUUCGGGAACGCUGAGACAGGUGCUGCAUGGCUGUCGUCAGCUCGUGUUGUGAAAUGUUGGUUAAGUCCCGCAACGAGCGCAACCCUUAUCCUUUGUUGCCAGCGGUCCGGCCGGGAACUCAAAGGAGACUGCCAGUGAUAAACUGGAGGAAGGUGGGGAUGACGUCAAGUCAUCAUGGCCCUUACGAGUAGGGCUACACACGUGCUACAAUGGCGCAUACAAAGAGAAGCGACCUCGCGAGAGCAAGCGGACCUCAUAAAGUGCGUCGUAGUCCGGAUUGGAGUCUGCAACUCGACUCCAUGAAGUCGGAAUCGCUAGUAAUCGUAGAUCAGAAUGCUACGGUGAAUACGUUCCCGGGCCUUGUACACACCGCCCGUCACACCAUGGGAGUGGGUUGCAAAAGAAGUAGGUAGCUUAACCUUCGGGAGGGCGCUUACCACUUUGUGAUUCAUGACUGGGGUGAAGUCGUAACAAGGUAGGCGUACGUGU